RNAcentral lists this transfer RNA (65 nucleotides) under Xylophagus ater. RNAcentral's name for it is "tRNA-Leu". The record is from RNAcentral. Lineage: Eukaryota; Metazoa; Arthropoda; Insecta; Diptera; Xylophagidae.
ACUAUUUUGGCAGAUUAGUGCAAUAGAUUUAGAAUUUAUAUAUGUAAUAAAAAUUACAAAUAGUA